GGGGAAGCCAUAGUUAGGGUUUUCAAGCUUCCAAGCUCCAUAAUCAAGAAGUACGAAACUCGAGGUUAGACAAAGGGAAGAAUAAAGUUGAAGACUAAGUUGGUGAAUUUGGCUAUAAUUGGUACCGAGUAUUGCAAAGCUACUUCAAGGAUCCUAAAGAAGUCGGAGAUCGUCCACACUAUCAACUACAACUGCUCGGUAUUUUAUAUCGAAACACGUUUGAGUUAUGGCAUGUAUAGGGAUUUAGUUAUUUUGUAUGUUUGUAAUGAUGAUUUUGCUAAUGAGUGAUGUGUAAGUAUUUGAUGAUGUAUGGUUAUUAAAAUGGUUAAGUAUGAAGGUAUUUGUUGUUAUAAGAGUCUAGGUGAUAAAUUAUGUAUGGAAAUCAUGAAAGGAUGAAAUUUUGCAAAGAAACAGAAUUCAGGCAGCAACA
Gossypium raimondii (Peruvian cotton) is the source of this 430-nucleotide long non-coding RNA. RefSeq lists it as uncharacterized. The transcript is spliced from 3 exons. The record is from RefSeq and is a predicted model, not a curated record. NCBI's taxonomy places the organism in Eukaryota, Viridiplantae, Streptophyta, Magnoliopsida, Malvales, Malvaceae.